CAACCCUCACUUGAAUAUUCCUAUGGUUAGUGGUAGACCACAGCUCGGAGGAAAAAUGCUAGGCAGCAAAUGAUAUUCUGUUGCAAGGAAUACAUUUAAAACAUAAAGUGAAUAAUUUAAUGGCAAAGAAGAUUAUCCUGGAAGAGAGGUUAGGAAUCUCUCUUAAACUAUUAGUUUAAGCCAAGAAACUGAAAGAGUGAGAGCAAAAAAACAAUCUCAAGUAUCUAGCUCAAGUGUCUAGCUGACAAUGGUGAAGACUAAAAUUCCUGUCUUAGGAGAAGAGGUGCAGGUCCUAGUCACCAUCAGGGAAGUUGCCCUUGUGCUCUUGACCUUCCAAAAUACAGUUCUGUUCAGAUGAGAAUCCCCAGCAGUCUUGCAGCACUAACCCCCUGAAAUGGCAGAUGGCAGAACUAGAACUUGGGAAUCAGGAGCAGUUCCUACAAAAUGAAGAACUGUCUCAGAGACUGCAGGAAAAGGAGUAGACUCAUGCAGUAGAGAGCAAGGAGGAACCAAGAAUGCAAUGACAACUAUCGAGCAGCCCAGGUGGCUCAGGAUGAGGAGACUGCUAGAUAUAUGCAGAACCAAGAACUGAAAGCCCAGUGGAGAUCUCAUGAGACAAACCUGGAGACAGAGAACAGUGAUGAGGGGAACAACUUAUCUGAGCCAAGGAGAAGCAAGGACAAGAAGGUAACAUGUUAAGUGUCUAUCACUUGGACAAAAUACUCCAGGUCACAAAAAGACCUAGCUAAUGAGACUGAAGACCGUACAUAGAGUCCUCUGUGCUUUUAUAGCGGCAAAGAGUCCUGUGGCACCUUAUAGACUAACAGACAUAUUGGAGCAUAAGCUUUCAUGGGCCCCAUGCAUCCGACGAAGUGGGUAUUCAUCCACUAAAGCUUAUGCUCCAAUACGUCUGUUAGUCAAUAAGGUGCCACAGGACUCUCUGCCGCUUUUACAGAUCCAGACUAACACGUCUAUGCCUCUGAUACUUGUGCUUUUAUAGUUACAGCAAACAAAAUAAUGUGGAAAUCUGUCCCAAGGGUUCUAUCCUAUCUGUCCCAAAAAUAUUUUUGCAAGGUAGGUGCCAGAAACAAAAUUCCCCUAAAGGCUUACUGAUCAGAGAAGAGGAGAUGCCUGACAGAUCAGGGCAUCAAAACAAGCUGUGGAGAUGUAUGGCUAGAUGCUGAGGUACCUGGAUCCCCAGUCAGAGGUCAGACCCUGGAAAGGUCAGACUUCCCAACACAAGGAGGCAGCAUAGACAGAACAAAGUAGGUGUUUUUAUUCAGACUAGUAAUCUCUUGUAUGUAUAUAUUCUGGACUAUUUUAGGGCCUUGUAUACUUGUGAGGGGUAAAGUUUUAGAGCCUUGUGUAGAAGAGUUAUUUUCCAGCUAGUGCAAUGCUCUCUCUAUACCGCAGUCUCUUUGCAUGCAAUGGGGUCUCAGUUUCAUAACAGUUCAAAGGGCAGUUUGAGGAAAUAAAGAUCCAAGAUAUUCAAUGAUUUUCCCAGUACUUUCCCUGUCUAAACUAAUGUACAAUGUUGAUGUAUCAGUCACUCAAGGUAGAUAAAAGAACAAGAAAUACAUGCUACAGUGUGUCCAGAACUUAAAGUUGCAGCUGAAAUGUGUUCUUGUAAACUCCAUCUGAAUAUAUUAGGGAACAAAUCCAAAUUUUGAUAUACCAGCAUUCCAACUUCAGGAGACGCUUCUGAAUUCUGAAUAAUCAAAGUUUACCUUAAAGAAGUUAAUCUAUGUUAUAGCCCACCACAAAACAACCUGAAUGCACUAAUAGAGACAUACAUGGGGCAUGGUAAUAAGAUACCCCUGAAUGUUCUUCUAGGAGGUAUGAGGUGAGAGUAAGAGUUACUCUUGCUGUAAGAGAGGACUGAAAUAGAACAGUACAAGUUUCAGAUCAAGAUUGCCCAGAUAAGAAAUGACUAGCUAUCUUAGUUCUGUAAACAUAUACGUUCAGAAACUGUCUUCAGACAUUUGGAGAAGAAAACUUACAAAUAUGAAAUGCUAAAGAUGCAAAUAAAAAGGCAAAAGUAUGUAAAUCUGCUGUAACAUUCAACGUUUCCACAGGCAACAAUUUCCUCCAAAUACUGAUGAAGAUCUGGACCCAACUUUUAAGUCAAAAAAGACAAAACCACCUGCUGAAGUGUUUGCAUCCUGCUCCCAUGCUGCCCAGUCACACACUGUUCCAGUUGAUGGCCUCUUUGAUUAUAUGGAUGAUACCAUUGGACCUGCCUUUAUUUCACUGACCAAAUGUCAGCCUGAAAAGCUAGGACACCAAAAAUCCAGGGACAAGAAGGAAGGCUGUAAGCAGCAGUGAAUCCUAGAGCCUACUUCCUCUAGCAACAAUAAAAUAUAUUUCUUCGCCAUAGUUGUGUGUUGAAUGAUGAGUCCUUCUUUCUGUCUUAAUUACCAAUGACCAGAUCUACAUAAUGCAAUUCCUUCCCUGUUCAAGAUUUGCUUUAUUACUUUGGUGGAGCCUUUUACGGAACUCUGGUGGAUGCACAGUGAGGUUGCUAUUCCUGUGUGUUAAUGGACAUUGAAUCAUCAUAGUUGCUGUAUAUUAAAAUUCAGUUUUAGAUGAAAGUUUAACUCUGAGAGAAGUAAUUUGUCAUGUUGUUGUUAAUACAAUCAGGGAGGAAUCCAAAAGUCUGCAUGCCACUUUUUCCAGGAUCUUUAGGGAGCAAAUUGUUUCAAACAAUUAGAUGUGCCAUCAUGAAUUAUUGAGUUGAACUAUGAUGCUACUAUUGCAGUUGAAAUACAACUGUACAGUAUAUUACUUGUUUACCUGCCAGUGGGAUUAGAUCUGAAUUCCUUAUUUUGUCUUGUUAGAAUUAAGACUUCAGCACAACUGCAGUGAGACUAGACAUGUGCAACCUAAUUGCUCAUUAUAUUUUCCUCAAUACUGCUUGGACAAACUUACCUCAUUUUUUUCAUAAGAGAAGAAAAUGUCUUGAAAAUAUUUUCCAGAAAGUAUUGAAGAAAUUAAACUUGAAAAGAUGUGAACGAUAGCUUAACAUUUCUCUUGAAGACUGUCAUGUAAGUUGAGGAGACUGCAUGUGAUACUGCAAACUGCAGUAGACACUUCUGACAUGCUGAAAGGGAAAGGAGCUUUUCAGCUGUAUCUACAAUAUACAUGAUGAUAAAUGAGGGUUUUUCAAAAGCACCAUUAUUUCAGAAGAACAUGUACUUCUCUGGGAUCUAGAGCGGGAACAGGCCAUUCAUUGUGAAUAUAGUAAAGGCAGGUACUACUGGAAUAUGUUCUAGGGAGUACAUGAGCCCAUGGCUAAGAUUUUAAUAUUUUAUAAAGACACUUUACAGAUUACUAUUGAUAAUUCAAAUGCUGUAAAAGUUUUGAGAUGUUAAAUAGAUUUGCUAUAGAUAUUAUUCACUUGAGAUUACCUUGUUUUUGACAUGGAGCAUAUUGAAGUGCAAAGCACAUUGUUUAAAAUUGGUGCUAAUGUUUUAGUUUUGCACUUUCAUGUGUGUUCAUUUUCUGCUUCUUGCACCUUUCAUAAAAUCCAGUAGCACAGGCUGCUGUUCAGCAGUUCUGUUGGCAAAUAAGAACUGUGUCCCUUGUAGGAAAUGCCCUGGUAGUGUUCUGAACCUUCCUUUGCAUUUGUACCAUGUGUUAAUUUCAAGCUCGUUUUAUAAACCUACUUGUACAUGUAUGCAUUAUGCCCUUCAUAUUUCAAGUUAAAUAAAAUAGAAGUUUUUUAAAUGGAA
Molecule: long non-coding RNA, 3731 nt
Organism: Dermochelys coriacea (leatherback sea turtle)
Lineage: Eukaryota; Metazoa; Chordata; Testudines; Dermochelyidae
Exons: 6
Source: RefSeq, a predicted model, not a curated record